RNAcentral lists this ribosomal RNA (460 nucleotides) under uncultured bacterium. RNAcentral describes it as "partial 16S ribosomal RNA". It matches the Rfam family "Bacterial small subunit ribosomal RNA", at positions 338 to 795 of the family's 1533-position model. The record is from RNAcentral.
CCUACGGGAGGCAGCAGGGAGGAAUAUUGGUCAAUGGACGAGAGUCUGAACCAGCCAAGUAGCGUGAAGGAUGACUGCCCUAUGGGUGGUAAACUUCGUUUAUAAAGGAAUAAAACGAGGCACGUGUGCCUUUUUGCAUGUACUUUAUGAAUAAGGAUCGGCUAACUCCGUGCCAGCAGCCGCGGUAAUACGGAGGAUCCGAGCGUUAUCCGGAUUUAUUGGGUUUAAAGGGAGCGUAGAUGGGUUGUUAAGUCAGUUGUGAAAGUUUGCGGCUCAACCGUAAAAUUGCAAUUGAUACGGGCAGUCUUGAGUACAGUUGAGGUAGGCGGAAUUCGUGGUGUAGCGGUGAAAUGCUUAGAUAUCACGAAGAACCCCGAUUGCGAAGGCAGCUUACUAAACUGUGACUGACAUUGAUGCUCGAAAGUGUGGGUAUCAAACAGGAUUAGAUACCCCAGUAGUC